This 1096-nucleotide ribosomal RNA is filed under the name uncultured ammonia-oxidizing bacterium. RNAcentral's name for it is "bacterial SSU rRNA". It matches the Rfam family "Bacterial small subunit ribosomal RNA", at positions 137 to 1229 of the family's 1533-position model. The record is from RNAcentral.
UGGGGGAUAACGCAUCGAAAGAUGUGCUAAUACCGCAUAAUCUCUGAGGAGAAAAGCACGGCAUCUUAGGACCUUGUGCUUUUGGAGCGGCCGAUGCCUGAUUAGCUGGUUGGUGGGGUAAAGGCCUACCAAGGCUUCGAUCAGUAGUUGGUCUGAGAGGACGACCAGCCACACUGGGACUGAGACACGGCCCAUACUCCUACGGGAGGCAGCAGUGGGGAAUUUUGGACAAUGGGGGCAACCCUGAUCCAGCCAUGCCGCGUGAGUGAAGAAGGCCUUCGGGUUGUAAAGCUCUUUCAGUUGGGAAGAAAAGGUUACGGUUAAUACCUGUGACUCAUGACGGUACCAACAGAAGAAGCACCGGCUAACUACGUGCCAGCAGCCGCGGUAAUACGUAGGGUGCGAGCGUUAAUCGGAAUUACUGGGCGUAAAGGGUGCGCAGGCGGUCUUGUAAGUCAAAUGUGAAAUCCCCGGGCUUAACCUGGGAACUGNNUUUGAUACUACAAGACUAGAGUGUAGCAGAGGGGGGUGGAAUUCCACGUGUAGCAGUGAAAUGCGUAGAGAUGUGGAAGAACACCGAUGGCGAAGGCAGCCCCCUGGGUUAACACUGACGCUCAGGCACGAAAGCGUGGGGAGCAAACAGGAUUAGAUACCCUGGUAGUCCACGCCCUAAACGAUGUCAACUAGUUGUCGGGUCUUUAUAGAUUUGGUAACGUAGCUAACGCGUGAAGUUGACCGCCUGGGGAGUACGGUCGCAAGAUUAAAACUCAAAGGAAUUGACGGGGACCCGCACAAGCGGUGGAUUAUGUGGAUUAAUUCGAUGCAACGCGAAAAACCUUACCUACCCUUGACAUGCCAAGAACUUUCCAGAGAUGGAUUGGUGCCCUUCCGGGAACUUGGACACAGGUGCUGCAUGGCUGUCGUCAGCUCGCGUCGUGAGAUGUUGGGUUAAGUCCCCCAACGAGCGCAACCCUUGUCAUUAAUUGCCAUCAUUUAGUUGGGCACUUUAAUGAGACUGCCGGUGACAAACCGGAAGAAGGUGGGGAUGACGUCAAGUUCUCAUGGCCCUUAUGGGUAGGGCUUCACACGUAAUACA